This 303-nucleotide ribosomal RNA is filed under the name uncultured bacterium. RNAcentral's name for it is "partial 16S ribosomal RNA". It matches the Rfam family "Bacterial small subunit ribosomal RNA", at positions 507 to 807 of the family's 1533-position model. The record is from RNAcentral.
AGCAGUAGCCGCGGGAAUACGAAGGGUGCAAGCGUUACUCGGAAUUACUGGGCGUAAAGCGUGCGUAGGUGGUGGUUUAAGUCCGUUGUGAAAGCCCUGGGCUCAACCUGGGAAUUGCAGUGGAUACUGGGUCACUAGAGUGUGGUAGAGGAUAGUGGAAUUUCCGGUGUAGCAGUGAAAUGCGUAGAGAUCGGAAGGAACAUCUGUGGCGAAGGCGACUAUCUGGGCCAACACUGACACUGAGGUACGAAAGCAUGGGGAGCAAACAGGAUUAGAUACCCCGGUAGUCCCUGUCUCUUAUAC